UACGUAGGGUGCGAGCGUUGUCUGGAAUUACUGGGCGUAAAGAGCUCGUAGGUGGUUUGUCGCGUUGUUCGUGAAAACUCACAGCUUAACUGUGGGCGUGCGGGCGAUACGGGCAGACUAGAGUACUGCAGGGGAGACUGGAAUUCCUGGUGUAGCGGUGGAAUGCGCAGAUAUCAGGAGGAACACCGGUGGCGAAGGCGGGUCUCUGGGCAGUAACUGACGCUGAGGAGCGAAAGCGUGGGGAGCGAACAGG
RNAcentral lists this ribosomal RNA (253 nucleotides) under uncultured bacterium. RNAcentral describes it as "partial 16S ribosomal RNA". It matches the Rfam family "Bacterial small subunit ribosomal RNA", at positions 524 to 776 of the family's 1533-position model. The record is from RNAcentral.